GAACCACACGGGGUUUAUUUGCCGAUGUUCCCUGGAAAGGUCGCUUUGUGAAGGAGCCAUCAGCAGUCUGUGGGCAUCGCCAGCAGGCCCUGGGGCCAAA
This 100-nucleotide small RNA is filed under the name Pongo abelii (Sumatran orangutan). RNAcentral's name for it is "processed transcript". The record is from RNAcentral. Lineage: Eukaryota; Metazoa; Chordata; Mammalia; Primates; Hominidae.